This 834-nucleotide ribosomal RNA is filed under the name Tubeufia guangxiensis. Its description in RNAcentral is "eukaryotic LSU rRNA". It matches the Rfam family "Eukaryotic large subunit ribosomal RNA", at positions 63 to 922 of the family's 3401-position model. Lineage: Eukaryota; Fungi; Ascomycota; Dothideomycetes; Tubeufiales; Tubeufiaceae. The record is from RNAcentral.
AACCAACAGGGAUUGCCUCAGUAACGGCGAGUGAAGCGGCAAUAGCUCAAAUUUGAAAUCUGCUCUUUGAGCCGAAUUGUAAUUUGUAGAGGAUGCUUCGGCUUACGUUUCGGUCUAAGUUCCUUGGAACAGGACGUCAUAGAGGGUGAGAAUCCCGUCUGUGGCCGAGACUUCCGCCAUGUGAAGCUCCUUCGACGAGUCGAGUUGUUUGGGAAUGCAGCUCUAAAUGGGAGGUAUAUUUCUUCUAAAGCUAAAUACCGGCCAGAGACCGAUAGCGCACAAGUAGAGUGAUCGAAAGAUGAAAAGCACUUUGGAAAGAGAGUUAAAAAGUACGUGAAAUUGUUGAAAGGGAAGCGUUUGCGACCAGACUUGCCCGCGGAUGCUCAACCGGUCCUUCGGCCGGUGCACUCUUCCGCGGUCAGGCCAGCAUCAGUUCGAGUAGCCAGAUAAAGGCAUUGGGAAUGUGGCUCUCUUCGGGGAGUGUUAUAGCCCUUUGUGUAAUAUGGUUCAUUUGGACUGAGGCCCGCGCUUCGGCUAGGAUGCUGGCGUAAUGGUCGUAAGCGGCCCGUCUUGAAACACGGACCAAGGAGUCUAACAUCUAUGCGAGUGUUUGGGUGUCAAACCCGUGCGCGAAAUGAAAGUGAACGGAGGUGGGAACCUUUGGGUGCACCAUCGACCGAUCCUGAUGUCUUCGGAUGGAUUUGAGUAAGAGCAUAGCUGUUGGGACCCGAAAGAUGGUGAACUAUGCCUGAAUAGGGUGAAGCCAGAGGAAACUCUGGUGGAGGCUCGCAGCGGUUCUGACGUGCAAAUCGAUCGUCAAAUUUGGGUAUAGGG